This 500-nucleotide ribosomal RNA is filed under the name uncultured bacterium. RNAcentral's name for it is "partial 16S ribosomal RNA". It matches the Rfam family "Bacterial small subunit ribosomal RNA", at positions 30 to 523 of the family's 1533-position model. The record is from RNAcentral.
AUUGAACGCUGGCGGCGGCUUAACACAUGCAAGUCGAGCGGGGGAAGGUAGCUUGCUACCGGACCUAGCGGCGGACGGGUGAGUAAUGCUCAGGAAUCUGCCUAUUAGUGGGGGACAACAUCUCGAAAGGGAUGCUAAUACCGCAUACGUCCUACGGGAGAAAGCAGGGGAUCUUCGGACCUUGCGCUAAUAGAUGAGCCUAAGUCGGAUUAGCUAGUUGGUGGGGUAAAGGCCUACCAAGGCGACGAUCUGUAGCGGGUCUGAGAGGAUGAUCCGCCACACUGGGACUGAGACACGGCCCAGACUCCUACGGGAGGCAGCAGUGGGGAAUAUUGGACAAUGGGGGGAACCCUGAUCCAGCCAUGCCGCGUGUGUGAAGAAGGCCUUAUGGUUGUAAAGCACUUUAAGCGAGGAGGAGGCUACUUUAGUUAAUACCUAGAGAUAGUGGACGUUACUCGCAGAAUAAGCACCGGCUAACUCUGUGCCAGCCGCCGCCGUAA